GGUCUUGUGGUCUAGUGGUAUGAUUCUCGCUUAGGGUGCGAGAGGCCCCGCGUUCGAAUCGCGGCAAGACCC
Molecule: transfer RNA, 72 nt
Filed under: Coccidioides posadasii C735 delta SOWgp
Lineage: Eukaryota; Fungi; Ascomycota; Eurotiomycetes; Onygenales; Onygenaceae
Also listed under: 14 other names
Description: tRNA-Pro (AGG) (tRNA-Pro-AGG-2-1, tRNA-Pro-AGG-2-2)
Rfam family: tRNA
About the family: Transfer RNA (tRNA) molecules are approximately 80 nucleotides in length. Their secondary structure includes four short double-helical elements and three loops (D, anti-codon, and T loops).
Source: RNAcentral